This is a non-coding RNA of Paramuricea clavata, 722 nucleotides long. The record is from the annotation of a GenBank genome assembly. Lineage: Eukaryota; Metazoa; Cnidaria; Anthozoa; Malacalcyonacea; Plexauridae.
UGUCAUUCUCAAUAGACAGAUAAGUUUAAGCUAUCCUGAUUCUUCGUUCUUUUAGUUUUCCUUUAUUAAUAAAUAAUAAAAAAUAAGACUCUUCUGUUUUUAAGUCUUUCUUGUUACGGUGAACGUAACACACAGAACUCGUGAGUCGUGGACGUAGAGCGAGUGGGUUUUUCUGUGUUUCAUGGCCGUUUUUCUUCGAUUUGUCUUAAUGCAUCGUCAAGUUAUUAACCUAUGGUUGUCGAACUCUCGUUUCGUGCCCCCGGGGGGGGGGGGGGGGGAGUACGAAACUAAUCCUAAACGACCUUUGAAUCAAUGAUUAUAAAUAAAUUAUAAUAAAUAAAGAAUAAAUAAUGAAUUAAGAGGCAAUUUUUUUCAAUGUCACGUAUUUGCAAUCAGAAAAGUGUUCAAAACCUAAAAUCUUUUUGGCGUUUCUUUCCAAAUUACUUUGUUUUAGCUUUAUUCUCUAGUUUAUAGAGUUAGCUACCUUUAACCUUUUUAAAUGCAUCUGCCGGUUGAGAAACAUAAAAUAAUAGUUAAAAAUUGUGAAUUAAAAUACAAAUAUCAAUGAUGCUUUAAAAUUGACGCCAUAUUUACAGCCACAUAAGCAAAACUUACUGAACUUCACACAUAAUUUUCUCUUUAGCGUAUUAUCUAAAAUCUCUUUAUUUUAGCAUUAUUUUACAGAUAAAGCACUAAACAUACUUUUUAAGUUUGUUUGCCGA